Nothoprocta perdicaria is the source of this 419-nucleotide long non-coding RNA. RefSeq lists it as uncharacterized. The transcript is spliced from 3 exons. The record is from RefSeq and is a predicted model, not a curated record. Lineage: Eukaryota; Metazoa; Chordata; Aves; Tinamiformes; Tinamidae.
GCGGGAAAGAUGCUUUUUGCUGUCAUGACUUGAAAGGGCCAUUACGAAGUGAAAUUUCUUCCUGGGUUGCCAUCUGCUGGCACUGCCUUUAACUGCUGCUAUGGGAAGGGAGCUGAGGAGGCCACUUGUGAAGAGGGAAGGUAUAUUGGUAAUCCCAAGGUACAGUUGGAUUCUGGUGUGCAAAGCCUCAUGUGUGAUGACUGCRUAACGGGAGUCCUGACCAGCCUAGUGCCUCAGGAGCCUGGAGCCAGGCUCAGGAUACAAAUGAAUUGGAAGAAUUCUCUGAAAACAAAACAGCAGCACAAGAACAUUCCCUUUCCUGGAGAGUGUAAAAACCUUUGUGAGCUGCCUCCACCGCAGCUGCUGAGGAGGUGAGCAAGCUGAAUGCCAAUUACUUGGGCUGUGUAGCUGAGCUGCAC